Molecule: long non-coding RNA, 1488 nt
Organism: Morone saxatilis (striped sea-bass)
Lineage: Eukaryota; Metazoa; Chordata; Actinopteri; Moronidae
Exons: 3
Source: RefSeq, a predicted model, not a curated record
GUUUUUAUCGUCAGUUUGGUUUUAAUUAGUUAUUUGAAAAUAUAAAAAGGGGGUUUCACAUCAUGAUUGACAGCUGAGUCCUGCUCGUCACGGUAUAUGGGCGGGACCUCGAUAUCGUGACGCCAACCCCGAUCAGCACUGCACAGACUCUAGCACAGAAUGGAUGGCUGCAGUAGUAUUUAUCAGAGCGACAUCAUCCCCAUGGAAGGAUACGGGGGUCAGAGGAGGCUCAGCAGUGCUGGUUGUUAUUUAUUUUGAAUCCGAGGCAGCGAUCAGCCAGCAGAAUAGAGUCACACUCAGUCAUUAUUUUGGACAUUCCCAGUAAGAGCACUGUGCAGAUGUCUCUGCCACAGCAGCAGCCCCAGCCCCAGCCCAGCGCUAACUACUGACCCCGUUAAACCACACAGUCAGACCAGUCUGGACCCACCCAAACCAGGAGCCAGAGCCAAACCCCAGACUCUGGACAGACCAGAGCGGAGCAGGGCAGAGCCAGGACGUGCCAGGCCAAUAAAAAGCAGCACAUUCCUGUUCGCCAAACUCAGCCUCAAGACUCUUUUUUCCUGAACUCCGACGGCAGCAAACACAGGAGUUUGGAUCAGCCCCCCUCCCCCACCGCCCUCCGAGGUCACGGAGGCUGCAGCCGCAGGGAGAUUGUUGUGGAGCUGGUUGGAGGUUUUGUGGUUUCUGGGUGGGACGACGACUAAAUGUUUCCAUCACACUGACAGCAGUACACAGAUCUUAUACUCACUGUGGCGAGAAUCGAUUUCCCCUGGACCCACCUGAAUGCAGAGAUGCCUAGGUCAUCUGGUUCUCUGGAUCAGAGCUGUGAGGACCUCACUUCUCUUUAGCAUGGUCUUUACCUUCAGUCAUCCUGCAGCCAAUUUGUUCUCUGAAAAAAGCAUAAAAGUAUGAUGUUGUCUAUCUGUAGGGGUUAUUCUGUCAUCCAUGGAUGGACUCAAUAGAAACACUCCACAUACACCAGCACACAAAGGCUUGAAUGGUCUUCACAUUGAGUGUCCUCUCACACGAAUCACCCAACGCCAAUGUUGCAAUGGCAAUUGUUUAAAUAAAGCAUGUUAAGUAUGAUCUUGUCUUUCUGUAUUCAACAUCCAUUUCAGUGACACAUUCAUGAGUUCAGGGGCAACGAUGAGUCUUAUCAUGUCCUUGGAUGCUCAGUGAAGUUUUAACCUCCCGCUGUUUACUUGGACAUAAAGUGUAGUUAGAAACAGGGUUUAUGCACAAAAUAGUCUCUCGGACUGGUUGUGUAUAGAUUACAAUGACCAGGUCCAAGAGUUACAGGUUUCUGGGAGUGUUGAGAGUCUGCAGGUAUUCAGUCACCACAGAAUUGAUCAGUAUCAGCUGCAGACGGGACUGACCAGUUAUUUAUAAUGUGCUGUACACAUUUUAUUAUUCAUAUAAAAAUUUGAUUAAAGCAGUUUUAAUAAAGUAAGAACAAGUAUGUGAGAUUAUUUUGUUCACAUAAAAGAA